GGAGGUUUUUCCUUCCAGCAGCCUGAAUUCUCCCAAGCCUGAGAAAGAAAAACUCCCUCUGGGACAUCCCUGUCAAGUCUGGCUGAAAAUGGACAGUCUGUUCAUGAGCUCCUGGGGAUAAAGAGCAGAAAGAAAAGUGACUGUGACACUGGAGGUGGCACCUGUGUCCUCAGGGGAGCACACAGCCUGCUUCAGCACAGGGGCAAAAGGACGGACAGCAGCGCUCCUCGGAGCCGAGUCCCGACGGGAGCCGUGUCCUGCUAUUGCCACCUCGUGGGGCCUCGCAGCAAUGACCAGGUCACCCCCGCGGGUGAUGGCACAGAGCAGAGAUGGAAAUACAGAUCCUGGUAUCAGAUGAACCCACAGCACUGACAGUGUGACAUUCCAUGCCAGUCCCCAAAGCCUGGAUACCUGCAGUGAACACUCCGCAACCUCAAAUCAGAAUUUAGCACUUGCUCCAGAGAACACAAUAUCAAAGGAGCUCACAAGAAGGGACUGGAUGAGAUUUGUUUUUAACCCUCUGGGCUGAAGAUGUGUCAGGAACAGGAGGUGUUUUGAAUACAAGUAAAUCUUAGAACACAAUAUUUGACCUAUCUAUCAUACAGCACAUUUCAGAGAAGGACUGUAUUUCUGCACUGAAGCCAACUCUUCACAGGCAAGUCAUUUGAAUUCCUCCAUGUUUGCUUCCUCCAGCCUCCAGGAAAUGAAAUCUAAUUUAAAAAAAUAUCAUUCUUGAUGAGGGUUUCAACUGAAGAGUAAAGACUCAAGUGCCAGUCCCUGCAGAGCACUGUCAGAUUUUUCCCACGUUGAGUAAUUCUGGUUCCUAAUGGAGUUCGCACUAAGUUACCUACCCCAAAACAUCUGUGAUUUAAACUGUUUGAUGGAAUAUAUCUCAUUGAAAACCAGUGGGACACUGAAUUAUUUGACUCCCCUGAGCUCUGCCCUAGUGGAGCACUGUCAGUGUCCAAACCUCUUCCCACACACUUCCCAACGAUUCAGAAAGUGGGUCAUUAACACGUUUUGUCAUUUGAUGCAAUUUCUCCCUUCCCUCUAAACUGGGCUUUUUUCCAGGUCCAGUAGCCAACAAUAAAUCAAUCACAGUCUCUCACAAGCCUUUUGACUCAAAUUCUAUCCUGUAGGUUGGGCUGAAACCAGAGCAGAAAUCACUGCAGGAGGUGGGGCAGGACAGGGCUAGUGGUGACUGCCACUGAGGAGGUGUUUGCUUGACCCACUGCUGCUCUUGCUGCCGUUCUUUGUGGACUCCUCCUCAGUAUCUGUGACAGAAUCUUCCUCCUCUUCAUCACUCCGAUCAUCUUUCAAGUCCUAGGGAGAAGAAAGCACUCGCAACAAGCUCACACGAGCAGCGCCUGCCUGCCUGGAAGACUUUCCAUGCCAAUGGAUGACCUUCUCUGCAGACUCAGGGCAGGAUGCUCUAGUUAAAAGAUGGACAUCAAGAAAACACUUCCUACUUCCUAAAUGUUCUCAGGCACCACUUUUUAUGUCUUUUUG
This is a long non-coding RNA of Pipra filicauda (Wire-tailed manakin), 1509 nucleotides long. RefSeq lists it as uncharacterized. The transcript has 5 exons. NCBI's taxonomy places the organism in Eukaryota, Metazoa, Chordata, Aves, Passeriformes, Pipridae. The record is from RefSeq and is a predicted model, not a curated record.